GGCGGGCGAGGGCGGGUGCCUAUACAUGCAAGUUGAGCGCUGAAGGUUGGUACUUGUACCGACUGGAUGAGCAGCGAACCCGUUAGAAACGCGUGGAGGAAUCUGCCUUUGAGCGGGGGACAACCUUUGGAAACGAAUGCUAAUACCGCAUAACAACUUUAAACACAAGUUUUAAGUUUGAAAGAUGCAAUUGCAUCACUCAAAGAUGAUCCCGCGUUGUAUUAGCUAGUUGGUGAGGUAAAGGCUCACCAAGGCGAUGAUACAUAGCCGACCUGAGAGGGUGAUCGGCCACAUUGGGACUGAGACACGGCCCAAACUCCUACGGGAGGCAGCAGUAGGGAAUCUUCGGCAAUGGACGAAAGUCUGACCGAGCAACGCCGCGUGAGUGAAGAAGGUUUUCGGAUCGUAAAACUCUGUUGGUAGAGAAGAACGUUGGUGAGAGUGGAAAGCUCAUCAAGUGACGGUAACUACCCAGAAAGGGACGGCUAACUACGUGCCAGCAGCCGCGGUAAUACGUAGGUCCCGAGCGUUGUCCGGAUUUAUUGGGCGUAAAGCGAGCGCAGGUGGUUUAUUAAGUCUGGUGUAAAAGGCAGUGGCUCAACCAUUGUAUGCAUUGGAAACUGGUAGACUUGAGUGCAGGAGAGGAGAGUGGAAUUCCAUGUGUAGCGGUGAAAUGCGUAGAUAUAUGGAGGAACACCGGUGGCGAAAGCGGCUCUCUGGCCUGUAACUGACACUGAGGCUCGAAAGCGUGGGGAGCAAACAGGAUUAGAUACGCUGGUAGUCCACGCCGCAAACGAU
Molecule: ribosomal RNA, 798 nt
Filed under: Lactococcus sp. CW2180
Lineage: Bacteria; Bacillati; Bacillota; Bacilli; Lactobacillales; Streptococcaceae
Description: bacterial SSU rRNA
Rfam family: Bacterial small subunit ribosomal RNA
Source: RNAcentral